RNAcentral lists this long non-coding RNA (783 nucleotides) under Olea europaea subsp. europaea. The record is from RNAcentral. Lineage: Eukaryota; Viridiplantae; Streptophyta; Magnoliopsida; Lamiales; Oleaceae.
GAUUCAGCGACGCUCCUAGUUUUUCCUGUAACUGUGGUGACUCAGAAGCCCAGCAAUGUGAUGGUGCAGGCUGGAAAAAUUUUUUGGUAGUAUCUUAAAAGUUUUGUUAGUUCGAUUUCAUGUGAAUUAGAGUUUUGAGAAUGGUUGUCCUAUUUAUGUUCAUACCAUUCCUGUGUUCGGAUAUAGUUAAGAGGGAAUGCACAUGAUAUUUACCUAUUCCAACAAACAAACAACGCCUUCAUGACAAUGUAUGUCAUCAUGCAGGGUUAAAACCUUUUCCUGGUUUCAAGAGGAAGUUGAGUAACAACUUGCUGAUAUCACAGGAAUUUUCAGACGGGUAUGUUAGCUCUAAUACCAUGACAAUUCCGAAGAGAAAGCACUUUUAUACUACUGAAAAUCCCGUUACCUGGGGAGAGAAUCCACUUGGUAACGCAAUAGACGAUUGCACGGAAAUUGUUAAGCAUAACAGUCCAUAUGGUUGUACAAUGUCAUCUUGCGCAGUUGAAGGCAGCCUUUCCAAGGGUCUUGCUCGAAUUUUUUCAAGUGGUCGUGUUUACGUUAUGACCAGGAUAGAAGUCUCUCAUAUACAUGAGAGUGUGAUGCAGUGAGUGUAAUGGGUUUGUGAGUUACAUAAAUGUAUGUUCAACAAUUCUUUUUUACUUUUUGUGAGAUGGAGGGCCACUAGUGCUUCUCUAGCUUGGUGUAUCCCUAAUAUUUUUCUUGUAUGGUUUAAUGAAGAAAUAAAGCUCCUGUUUGAAAUGUGUGGUUGAAAAUUGAUGAAAG